RNAcentral lists this unclassified non-coding RNA (327 nucleotides) under Hevea brasiliensis (rubber tree). The record is from RNAcentral. Lineage: Eukaryota; Viridiplantae; Streptophyta; Magnoliopsida; Malpighiales; Euphorbiaceae.
UCAAGCUGAACAUCACCAUUAUCAUCUUAGUUAGGGCCACUAGCUUAUAACAAAAUAAUAGCACGAAAGCACCAGUCUCCAUGCACACAGUUCUACAUUACUAUUCAUAUUUAAAGAAUUCAUUUUUCAGGAGAGAGGUUCAACAUCUGCCAGGAGGGAAAUUUGUGCUUCAACAAUCAAUGUAUCAUCCACUAGAAAUCCCUUUGAUGCAUCAUAGAUAUCAUUAAGCGGCAUGAAGUCAGAACGUCCCCAGCAGCAAUCAACGCUUGAUUUGCUGAUAAACCAAUCACUUCCUGUAAUCUUAUGAUGGCUUUCCUGGACCUGAUC